UGGGUAUUCUGUGCCAUUUCGUCUGACAUUCCUAGAACACCCAACUGCAAAAAGGGGUCAAGGCUGAGGACCAAGGGGAAAAGGAUUUAAAGACCCAACAUAAAAAAAGAGACUGCCUUUCUGUGGUUUGAUGUGAAAUAAUCUUGAAGAUGAGGUCCAACAUUUUCUUUUGAAGUAGGUUGACAACGCAACAAGUUGCUGUUAUGGAAGGAGACAAGAAAAGCAGGCAUAACAGAAGAGGCAGGACGUGGAGGCAAAGUGGGCAGUUGCCGUUUUGGAUCAGUUUGGCCCUUGGGGAUGUUCCAUGCAACGUGGGAGAACGUGUGAAGACUGGUGUGGGCUUGGCUGGUGGCUUGUCAAAACUGCCAGCGUUGGUGGAGUUGGCGAGCAAGAUAGAUGUGAAAAGAAACAAGCACAGAUAAGUAGGGAGAGACAGAGCUGUGAAGGCUUUCGAAAGCGAGGCUGGAAGGUGGAAUUUAGAAUUCCCAUCACAAAUCUAGAUGGUUUGCAAAUGCAGGGCCGGCUACUCAUGGCUGGUUUCCAUGGGAUCACUUGAGGGGAAACUCUUUUGCAAAUCAAGUAGAGCCUGUCAGAAUCAGGCCCUAAGAAUACGGGGCCAAAUUCAGAGCUCAGAUAAGCAAGUGUAGCUCCAUUGACUUUAGUGGAGUUGGAGCGCCAUACACCAGUCUGAACUUGGCCCAAUGGAACCCAAAGCAUUCUCUCAUUGGCGCCUCUAAGUAAUUUCCCAUCGGAGAUCUAUUGUCAGGAUAAAAAAUAAUCCCCCAGCUUCUCAUUGCAAAGAAAAAUUAUUGCUUCAGGUAUUAUGCAAUAGAGGACACAGGCCUGGUGAAGACAAGGAAAUGGCUUGUUGAGUAGGAUUGAAGAAGUGUACAUAGAGCAGCGUACCUUUAUUAAUGUGUCUGUCUCUGUCUGUGGUUGCAGAAGCUUUGGUGUUUUGAUUGCUGCUUGAUUUAGACAGCUUUCUGGGUGAUGUUACUCUUCUAUUUAUGUGGCCUAAGAAAGGGAAAAGAGAGAGAGAGAGGAGCUUUGGGGAGCUGUGACCCUCUUUAUUCAAACCUGAACAGUGGCAGGGUCUUUACUUCCAAGAACUCACUUUGCCUUUCUUCUCGCCAUCCAGUGAGGGUGCCGAAAUAAUAGGUCCUUGGAGCUAACAAGGUUGAUCAUCAAGGAAAGCUCUGUGCCUGCCGAAUCCUAGGGCGAUGGAAAAAUCUUAGUGCUCCAUUGAACUACAUUGUGAUAACAGACAUUCUAAAAGGCAAAUUGAAAGGGUGAUUUUGAAAUUGAUCUGUGCACAGACAUUUUGUGCCGUUCCCUGUUCCCAAAACAACACAGCAUGGACCACUGCAUGGACUGAGCUUCCUAAAUGCCAAAUAACACCAAAUGUAUCACAUGUGAUUGCAGCAGAUGUCUUCAGCAGUGGGUGGCGGGAUCAGUGUUAAUGUUUAAUGCUGGGGGUAGGGAUACAAUGGCACUAAAUUAUGGAGAUUACAUUAGUAGGUUAAGAGGAUCAUUACUACAGAAAGGUCCUGCUGGGACCUUAGCACUCUCCUUACAUGGAGGUGUUUAAUAGAAUCACCUGCCGUGAAUGACAGAGCUGCAGAUAUAAAUAACCACAAACAGGAGGACAGCAAAUGCUUCCCAGGAAGCAGAGCAGCACAGGAUUUUUGGAUGCAUUUAGAAUGUUGUUAAUAUAUCCACUUUUCUUUUUCAGACACAUAUAGCCUUGUGGCUAGGACAAGAAAGUAGAAGUCAGAAUUCCUGGGAUAUACUCCUGCUACUGAGUGUCUGGGUACCCUUGGACAAGUCACUCUACCCUUCCAAACCUCAGUUUACCCAUCUAGAAAAACAGGUGUAACAAUAUUUGUGUGGGUAUUUAUUGUGUUAUCUCUCUCGGGACACCGUCAAUACCAGGUUGAGUAAUCAAGGCCGCCGAACAGGGAAAUAACCCACUUCCUUCCCUGAUGAACCAAGAGACGCACCCCACCCAUGUACUUAUUCGCUACACCGAUACUGACUUAGAUUCUUAAUACAUUCCAUGGGUGGCAUACCCAAACCCACUUAUCCACUGAUGCUUUAAAAAACUCCGCACCCCAAUCUGGUUAUAUGAUAUGUAUGUAUCUCGUGAUCUUUGUAACCGAUACCUGUAAUCCCUCAUAACUCAAGCCUGACCCCAAAUGUACAGUACCUUUCCUCUUAACAUGUGUAUAUUUAAUUUUAAACAUUAACCUUAAUAAAUUUUUUAAAUCUG
Long non-coding RNA from Malaclemys terrapin pileata, 2269 nucleotides. RefSeq lists it as uncharacterized. The transcript is spliced from 3 exons. Lineage: Eukaryota; Metazoa; Chordata; Testudines; Emydidae. The record is from RefSeq and is a predicted model, not a curated record.